Non-coding RNA from Salmo salar (Atlantic salmon), 54 nucleotides. The record is from Rfam. NCBI's taxonomy places the organism in Eukaryota, Metazoa, Chordata, Actinopteri, Salmoniformes, Salmonidae.
UCUGGCCGAUUUUGUAAGUCGCUCUGGAUAAGAGCGUCUGCUAAAUGACUUAAA